RNAcentral lists this transfer RNA (67 nucleotides) under Neotrypaea harmandi. Its description in RNAcentral is "tRNA-Phe". RNAcentral also lists the same sequence under 1 other name. The record is from RNAcentral. Lineage: Eukaryota; Metazoa; Arthropoda; Malacostraca; Decapoda; Callianassidae.
AUUUAUAUAAUUCAAAUUUAGAAUAGUACACUGAAGAUGUAAAAGUGAUUUUUUUUAUCUAUAAAUA